Long non-coding RNA from Ctenopharyngodon idella (grass carp), 1179 nucleotides. RefSeq lists it as uncharacterized. Lineage: Eukaryota; Metazoa; Chordata; Actinopteri; Cypriniformes; Xenocyprididae. The transcript has 4 exons. The record is from RefSeq and is a predicted model, not a curated record.
ACCUGUAUGACAUUAUGCUGGACCAGCGGUUUGGAAAAUGAAAAAGUUCUCUUUUGUCAUAUUAAGCAGUCUCACUGCAAACAAAUUGCAGGUAGUUUUUAGAUGCACAAACCUCAGUCAAUAUAAAUUGUGCUUUUUUUUAUGACUUGCUGCAUAAGUCAAUGCCUGAUAUUCCUGUGUUUGUGUCUUGCAGUACAGUCUGGUUGUGGUGGAGGACAAGCAUUAUUACUGGAUUGGUCAGAGGACAAAUGUUUCCUCAACCGGAUACUGGAGCUUUCUCAUGCUUUAACCCCAGAGGCUCUGAUCGGGAUAUACAUGAUUUUAUUGGUGACAGAAUGAAUUCCCAGGCUUUUGAAGUGAAAAAAUAUGUUUUACCUAAGUUUGACAUCAGUGUAAACACAUCACACAUGCGUUGGAGAUGUGGGACUGAAAAAACACCUAUGGGCAACCUGUACCUGGUCAAGUGUUGGUGGUGGAUCGUUGGUGUUGUGGACCGUUUCCCUAUGUUUUGGUUCCUGAGGUGACCCGUCUGUGCCUGAAUGAAACCUCUAAGGUAUGACUACUGGUAUAACUCAUGUUUGUGGCGUUUCGUUUCCCAGAUGUGGUCAAUCUGUAACCGUGUCCAUCACGUUUAAAGUUGGAAAGUUUAUGUUUGCAGAGCUCCCAGAGUUUUUUUUUUUUUUUUUUUAAACCUGGAUCAACAGUUGACGGAAAGGCAAGUAGAAGUUCAUCACAUUGGUGUUCUUUCCUAACGUUUCUUUCCCAGCAGAUCUUGGCAUCUUAUUUCAAGCGCAUUUCUUAUUUCAAGUUAUUUCAUGUCUUAGAUGGUAGCCAGUCCCUUAAGGCCGGAACACACCAAGCCGACUCCGACGAACUAGUGGCGACGAAAGCAGACUGCGGGGUUGGCUCACGUCGGCAGCGUCUGUGUCCAAAGUUGCCCUGACACACCAAACCGAUGCUCGACACCCGACGGCCAAGUAGCACGUCCGUUCUGCGCCUGCGCAAGAUGAAAUGCCUUUCCGUACCAGCAGGUGGCAGUAGCUGAACAGCCAAUCAGAAUGAUCAGAGGGCCCGACGGACCAACGAGCGCCGAUUCAACAUUUCGAAUCGGCCGGAAAAAAGCCGACGAGGACCAACUUCAGCCGACGGUGCAGAACACACUGAGAAAACUUAGUCGGC